AUACGUAGGGGGCGAGCGUUGUCCGGAAUGAUUGGGCGUAAAGGGCGCGUAGGCGGCGCGGUAAGUCUGGAGUGAAAGUCCUGCUUUCAAGGUGGGAAUUGCUUUGGAUACUGCCGCGCUUGAGUGCAGGAGAGGUUAUCGGAAUUCCCGGUGUAGCGGUGAAAUGCGUAGAGAUCGGGAGGAACACCAGUGGCGAAGGCGGGUAACUGGACUGCAACUGACGCUGAGGCGCGAAAGUGUGGGGAGCAAACAGGAUUAGAUACCCUGGUAGUCCACACCGUAAACGAUGAAUACUAGGUGUAGGGGGUAUCGACUCCCUCUGUGCCGCAGUUAACACAAUAAGUAUUCCGCCUGGGGAGUACGGCCGCAAGGUUGAAACUCAAAUGAAUUGGCGGGG
Molecule: ribosomal RNA, 397 nt
Filed under: uncultured bacterium
Lineage: Bacteria
Description: partial 16S ribosomal RNA
Rfam family: Bacterial small subunit ribosomal RNA
Source: RNAcentral